This 193-nucleotide microRNA precursor is filed under the name Oryza glumipatula. RNAcentral describes it as "MIR812 microRNA precursor family". It matches the Rfam family "MIR812 microRNA precursor family". Lineage: Eukaryota; Viridiplantae; Streptophyta; Magnoliopsida; Poales; Poaceae. The record is from Rfam by way of RNAcentral.
AAAAAGGCAAAUCAUGGGUUUUCGUGUCCAACUUUGACUGUCCGUCUUAUAUGAAAUUUUUUUAUAAUUCGUAUUUUCAUUGUUGUUAGAUGAUAAAACAUGAUUAAUAUUUUAUGCAUGACUUGUCUUUUUAAUUUUUUCAAAUAAGACGGACGGUCAAAUAUUGGGCACGGAAACCAGGGUUUGUCUUUUU